This 253-nucleotide ribosomal RNA is filed under the name uncultured bacterium. Its description in RNAcentral is "partial 16S ribosomal RNA". It matches the Rfam family "Bacterial small subunit ribosomal RNA", at positions 524 to 776 of the family's 1533-position model. The record is from RNAcentral.
UACGUAGGGUGCAAGCGUUAAUCGGAAUUACUGGGCGUAAAGGGCGCGUAGGCGGCCUGGUAAGUAGGGGGUGAAAUCCUGCGGCUUAACCGCAGGGCUGCCUUCUAAACUGUCAGGCUCGAGCACGGUAGAGGCAGAUGGAAUUCCCGGUGUAGCGGUGGAAUGCGUAGAGAUCGGGAAGAACAUCAGUGGCGAAGGCGGUCUGCUGGGCCGUUGCUGACGCUGAGGCGCGACAGCGUGGGGAGCAAACAGG